RNAcentral lists this ribosomal RNA (245 nucleotides) under uncultured bacterium. RNAcentral's name for it is "partial small subunit ribosomal RNA". It matches the Rfam family "Bacterial small subunit ribosomal RNA", at positions 26 to 285 of the family's 1533-position model. The record is from RNAcentral.
AGAAUCAACGCUGGCGGCGUGCCUAACACAUGCAAGUCGCACGAGAAAGUGGAGCAAUCCAUGAGUACAGUGGCGCACGGGUGAGUAACACGUGAAUAAUCUACCUCCGAGUUGGGAAUAACUGAGAGAAAUCUUAGCUAAUACCGCAUAAUACCCACGGGUCAAAGCAGCAAUGCGCUUGGAGAGGAGUUCGCGGCCGAUUAGCUAGUUGGCGGGGUAAUGGCCCACCAAGGCGAUGAUCGGUA